RNAcentral lists this long non-coding RNA (442 nucleotides) under Mytilus galloprovincialis (Mediterranean mussel). Lineage: Eukaryota; Metazoa; Mollusca; Bivalvia; Mytilida; Mytilidae. The record is from RNAcentral.
UUCAAAACAUGUUAAUGAUUCAUAACUUUGUUUCUUGAAAGGUGGAGAUCUUUCUUAAAAUGGAUAUACAGAUGCAAUGAGAAGGUGUUUUGAGUUUGUGACCACAACAAAAAAACUCAGACCCACAGAUCCUUUCAUUUGCUGACUAAAAAAGCUGAACACAUAUUUUACUUAAAAUAUAUAAUAUUCAAAAAAAUGUAUAUGCUAAACAAUGCAAUAAAAUUGAGAAACAUACAUAAUAAUUACAAAUUUACCACAUAGCAAGAAUGGAACAUCAAUAUCAAAAUUAAGAAUUACAGAGUUGCACAGUAAAAAUUUAAAAGCACAUGUUGCAAUGUUAAAAUUUUGAUCUCUUUGCUUUCCAUAAUAUAACACUGCCCUCUUUUUUUCAUGGUUCCAUUAAAAUCUGAUAUACAACACAAUAUAAUGAAUAAUAUAGCAC